AGAGUUUGAUCCUGGCUCAGGAUGAACGCUGGCGGCGUGCUUAACACAUGCAAGUCGAACGAACCUUCGGGUUAGUGGCGGACGGGUGAGUAACGCGUGAGAAUCUGCCCUCAGGAGGGGGAUAACAGUUGGAAACGACUGCUAAUACCCCAUAUGCCGAGAGGUGAAAUGAAUUUCGCCUGGGGAUGAGCUCGCGUCUGAUUAGCUUGUUGGUGGGGUAAUAGCCUACCAAGGCUUCGAUCAGUAGCUGGUCUGAGAGGACGAUCAGCCACACUGGGACUGAGACUCGGCCCAGACUCCUACGGGAGGCAGCAGUGGGGAAUUUUCCGCAAUGGGCGAAAGCCUGACGGAGCAACGCCGCGUGAGGGAUGGAGGCCUUUGGGCUGUAAACCUCUUUUCUCAAGGAAGAAGAUCUGACGGUACUUGAGGAAUAAGCCACGGCUAAUUCCGUGCCAGCAGCCGCGGUAAUACGGGAGUGGCAAGCGUUAUCCGGAAUUAUUGGGCGUAAAGCGUCCGCAGGCGGCCGUUUAAGUCUGUUGUUAAAUCGUGGAGCUCAACUCCAUCACGGCAAUGGAAACUGUUCGGCUUGAGUAUGGUAGGGGCAGAGGGAAUUUCCGGUGUAGCAGUGAAAUGCGUAGAUAUCGGGAAGAACACCAGUGGCGAAAGCGCUCUGCUGGGCCAUUACUGACGCUCAUGGACGAAAGCCAGGGGAGCGAAAGGGAUUAGAUACCCCUGUAGUCCCGGCCGUAAACGAUGAACACUAGAUGUUGGGGGAAUCGACCCCCUCGGUGUCGUAGCUAACGCGUUAAGUGUUCCGCCUGGGGAGUACGCACGCAAGUGUGAAACUCAAAGGAAUUGACGGGGGCCCGCACAAGCGGUGGAGUAUGUGGUUUAAUUCGAUGCAACGCGAAGAACCUUACCAAGGCUUGACAUCCUGCGAAUCUCUAAGAAAUUAGAGAGUGCCUUCGGGAACGCAGUGACAGGUGGUGCAUGGCUGUCGUCAGCUCGUGUCGUGAGAUGUUGGGUUAAGUCCCGCAACGAGCGCAACCCACGUUUUUAGUUGCCAGCAUUCAGUUGGGCACUCUAGAAAGACUGCCGGUGACAAACCGGAGGAAGGUGUGGACGACGUCAAGUCAUCAUGCCCCUUACGCCUUGGGCUACACACGUACUACAAUGCUGCGGACAAAGAGUAGCGAUCUUGCGAAAGUUAGCUAAUCUCAUAAACCGUGGCUCAGUUCAGAUCGUAGGCUGCAACUCGCCUACGUGAAGGAGGAAUCGCUAGUAAUCGCAGGUCAGCAUACUGCGGUGAAUACGUUCCCGGGCCUUGUACACACCGCCCGUCACACCAUGGAAGUUGGCCAUGCCCGAAGUCGUUACUCUAACCUUUUGGAAGAGGGCGCCGAAGGCAGGGCUAAUGACUGGGGUGAAGUCGUAACAAGGUAACC
This 1445-nucleotide ribosomal RNA is filed under the name uncultured bacterium. Its description in RNAcentral is "bacterial SSU rRNA". It matches the Rfam family "Bacterial small subunit ribosomal RNA". The record is from RNAcentral.